RNAcentral lists this long non-coding RNA (812 nucleotides) under Chinchilla lanigera (long-tailed chinchilla). RNAcentral's name for it is "lncRNA (ENSCLAG00000026986.1)". Lineage: Eukaryota; Metazoa; Chordata; Mammalia; Rodentia; Chinchillidae. The record is from RNAcentral.
CGUCUCUGUUCUAAUGCUCUUCUUAAUGUGCUUGAGGAAAAAACAAAACCACAUUAUGGAUACUUACUGAAGUUGUUAUUAAUAAUGAACAAUCGGAAAUACUUAAAUGACCAAAGGUUCUUUUCUUCCCAUGUCUGCUUUGAGAUAUCUGCUGCUGAUACUGCACAAAGAUUUAAGGAUUUACCAAUUGCAUUUCUUUAAAGCAACGUCUCCUGACAUCAGUAGUGGUUUCAAGAACAAACUACAAACUUAUUCCCUCUUUUACAGCUUUCAAGUCUUGGGGCAAAUUAUUUAUCUUAGUUCCUGCGUAAAACAAAAAACCACAAGAGUUAGGGUCGGAACCGGAAAGUUAAAAAUUUACGUUCAAUCCCUUCCUGCAUCUUACCACAGUCCACCAGCGCAGAAAAGUAGAAAUCAGUCAAUGGAAAUUCCACCAGAUUGCUACAAUUGUAAUUUUCACCCAAUCCUUUUUUAAAAACUCCUGUUUUUAAAAUUAACCACUUCCCAACACAAUUUGACUUCAUUUUCUCAUUCAGUCUUUCAUGAAAGUGGAGCACAACUGAGCUACUUUUACAUGAGGUACUUAGAAGCCUGAUUUCAAUUACUCUUUUACCUUGUUAACUCUAUGUUCUUUAAAGACUAUUAUUCCAUUACUUCAUCUCUUCCAGGAGAAAAAAAAAAUCAUCUUUUUUCAAUAUUACAAUGAAACUAGUUUUUCCUCUGUUACUAUUUCAGUCUUUUGAGCGGUUAGUUUCUUCACAUUUGCUCUUACCCUGAAUUGCAUUUCUGUAAAAAGAACAAGCUCUUAAAAG